Long non-coding RNA from Monomorium pharaonis (pharaoh ant), 1316 nucleotides. RefSeq lists it as uncharacterized. The transcript has 2 exons. NCBI's taxonomy places the organism in Eukaryota, Metazoa, Arthropoda, Insecta, Hymenoptera, Formicidae. The record is from RefSeq and is a predicted model, not a curated record.
UGUACGGUACGAGGUCGUGUCUGCACCCUGACCAAGCAGAAGUAGCUUAGCCGCGCGAGACGGUCGAGAAAAACGCGCGAGAUGAACGAAACGCGGCGCUGAGCAGCGCGCGGAUGCGUGCGGAAAAAGGAAGGAGGCGAAGAAACUUGGCAAGAGCCAUACAUUUGCCGCGCCAUUAGUGCCAGACCGGGGCGCUAGCCAUCGCCAUUAAGUAGAGAGAAAUUGAUCGAUAUUGCAGCAACCGGCCGUAAUAACGCAGCACCUAAUAGGUAAUAAUUAAUCGCGACCGCGCUAGCAUAAAGGCUGUUUCCAUAUCAAUCUUUUGCGUUGACGUGUUGCCGGAAACAGAAGCCCGACGAAAAAGGCAAGGAGAAAAACGGCCAAUGUCGAUUAUAAAGACGAUGAAGAAAUUUCAUUGGAUUGUACGUCGUGGAAAAAUCCGGCGCGGUCCAGCCAAGUUACAGAAUUCUUUCCCAUAUUAUUGCGGAGCAAAAUUAGGAGUCAUAAAAAAAUAAUCGAUGGAGAAAGGGACAGGGAUGACGGAACUAUCGAUUAGCCCUUUUUGAAGCAACGGCCGGGGUCAGGUCAGCCACUGUUUCGCCAGUUCGGACGGCGCAGCGGUGACCGCUCAUGAUUACGCGAACGCACAGGCGGAACCCCCUCGGCAAACAAAUGACGAGCCAUAAAUACGUUGGCACCGAAGGUGCUAGGUAGGGAGUGUCCGAUAUUAAUAAGCGGUCAUUAAGAGAUACGGUCUCGGGGCUAUGGACAAUGGGGGGCGGACGCGAAAGAGCCCGCGAGGAGAAUAGGCGUUGUAAAUCUUGGUGACCGGGACCGGCUCUCCCGAAGAAAUCGCUCGGCGCGCUUCCCACGUGACGUUGCGGUGCCGCCGCAUUUUCCACGCCGAUUUCUAUACACAUUUCUACACCCGCUGGAUUCCGGAUUAGCCGCGUUCGUGCGCGUCCCGAAAACCGGCUUUGUUUCUUUCGGCUUCGAAUUCGUUCGAGACGAACCGACGUGAUUACGACGCCCAGGACGAUAGAACUCGGCUGCUUGAUUAUGUUUCCAAGACAAUGCGGCAAAAAACAAUAGCGAAAUAGGCCAAAGUGCUGUUAGAUCGGAAUCAAUGACGCGGAUCAGUUGUUAAGGUAAUUGAGUUGUUGACACAAUAUCGUCGUAUAAAAAGUGCUUCAAAGCUGCUUCAAUUUUUCAAACAAUGUUAUGCAAUUUCUAAUAAUCUAUUAAUUGCGAAAAAAUAACCAAAAACGUAUUAUUUUCAAAAACAAUACGAUUUAACAAUAAUAAUAAAAUAUCGA